AACGAACGCUGGCGGCAUGCCUAACACAUGCAAGUCGAACGAAACCUUCGGGACUAGGGGCUAACGUCUUCGUAACGCGUCGGAACCUGCCCUUGUGUUCGGAAUAACUCCCCGAAAGGGGUGCUAACACGGGAUAAUAUCUUCUGACCAAAUAUUUAUAGCCUUGGGAUGUGCCCGCGUUGGAUUAGCUAGUUGGGAGGGUAAAAGCGUACAAAGGGGACGAUCAAUAGCUGGUCUGAGAGGAAGGGCAGCCGUCCUCGGAGUGAGACACGGCCCAGACUCCUGAGGGAGGGAGCCAUGGCGAAUAUUGGCGAAAGGGCGACAGCGUGAACCAGCAAUGGCGCGUGAGUGAUUAAGGUCAUAGGGUUGUAAAUCUGUUUUACCCGGGAUGCUAAUGACAGUAACGGGAGAAUAAGCUCCGGCUAACUCAGUG
RNAcentral lists this ribosomal RNA (433 nucleotides) under uncultured bacterium. Its description in RNAcentral is "partial 16S ribosomal RNA". It matches the Rfam family "Bacterial small subunit ribosomal RNA", at positions 29 to 507 of the family's 1533-position model. The record is from RNAcentral.